UGCCACCUGCUUACUUUAAAUGUAAAAGUACAGGCCAGCCAUUGGAAAGCUGCCACAGCGCUUUGGAACCCCUCUCAUUCUGCUCUAGUGAUGGGAGGGAAAAGGCCAAACUCUGACCCUUGGAAGCGGAGCAUCUGUUCCUCCGUGGCUCUCUAGGGGAAGAAACAGCUUGCUGAAUUCCUGAAAACGUCAUAAUAGGACCUGCUGAGCAGGUACGAGCUGGUGUCAGCACACCACUGUUACCACCUCUAAGAACUAUUUCUUGGGUGCACAUUUUUAUUUUUCUGCUUUUGUUUUGGGAGUUGGUUCCUGGACUCUUAGAUGAAAGCUCACUCAUGUCCUUGCGCUUAUCUCAUCGUGUGGAUCAUCGAGCAUAUUCAGUGAGAAGAAUGCAGUCUUUUGCCAAACAGGCCAAGAGUAGAGGGAGAGGAGCCUUGUGGGGGCCAGGGCUGUGCAAUGUCCUCCAGGGGGACACCCCGCGAUUGAUAAGAAACAUUUCUGGCUGACUCCUCACAUUUGCUUUCAGUCAGGAGCGCAAGCGUCUGGUUUCAAAUAUAAAUACUUAAAUGUUGAAUUGAAGCUAAACUUAUAUUCUCUGUAUCCAUUGUCAUUCAGUCCUGUUAUUGUCGGGCAACCUCUUCUUUAGGAAAACCAUUGGACCCUAAAAUAAAAUGUUCAGAAAACACGCAAAUGGAAAUAGCUUAAGCUCUCAGACUUUGGCAGUGUUACUUGAUUUGCUGUGGCCUCAGAAGGGACAAUCAUAAUAUUUUUCUGGCUGUCUUGUCUUGAUUUAUAAUUUGAAUCCCCAUAAAUGAUAAUAGAGAGGGCAAUUAUCAAAGAAACAGAAAGGGCAAUUAUCAUUAAAUUGAAAACACAUCACACAUCCAACAGGAUGAAUGACUGAGCUAAAAACAGAUUUUGUGGAUCUUGCAACUGUUCCAAAAGAACUUAAUGGAAGCAGCUUCAUCUCCCCACCUCCUCCAAUUAACCAGAUGACUUUGGAUAUAUUUUCCUUUUUUUUCCUUUGGAUGAUAACACAAGGCCUGUUAAUCUAAUCUGCCUGAAUACUGACACUACUUAGGAUAUGUAAAUUUAUGAGACUAAACCAGUUGCUGUUUGCCUAGUGUGAAAAAAAGCUUUCCUUUUUUUUGUAAAAACAAUAGAGAAAAAUUAGUUCUCUUGUUUGUACAUUUUCGAUUCCAGGAGACUGUAGACACCUCCUCAGCUGUUCUUAACCUUUGCAAUGAAUCUUUUUAAGUGGGGCAAUGUGGUGUUUUUGUUCAUGAGGCUAAAUAAUAGACUGGACAUUGAAAUUCCCCUAAAGGGCUUUUGUCUUGGUUGGAUAAAUGGAACAAAUUAUUCUCCAAACUAUAGGCAUUAGUUAUCAUUACUACGAAUAUGGAAGUAACAGGUAAAUGUUUAUGAAGGUCUUUUGUGGCGAAUUCUUACCAUCUGGAUUCACUAUUUUAAGGAGUAGAAUUAUAGACAUUCUCUGGAAAGGGUAAGGUGUGGAAGGAGAAAAAAAAACUCAAAAUUACUUUUGUCAGCACAUCUGUAUAGUAAAAAUGGUGGUGCUAUGAAUGUCAAUAUCUACCUUAUGGAGCCUUAACAAUCUGGUCCAAUCAGAUUCUGGGAGGGAAUAACAGGGUUUUCCCCUUUCAUGUUAAGUAGGGUUCACAGAGUGGAUAAACUCUGGCAGGCUUGUCUUCCUAAUAUAUGGCUCAUGAAGAAACUAAAUAUGGAACGAUGCAAAUGCUCAGACAAAUUUAAUUUGUAUUUAUUUCAUCUUGCCUCUGAUUUUCCCAUUCUGCUCCAUGACAGAGCCGAUCACCUGCCAUUGGUUAAUGCUUACCCAGAUAGGGUUUGUUUACUUGAGAACAAAGAACCAUAGGGUGAUCCCAAGACACGUGGCUGUGCUCUUAGUUACAGGGCUCAGACACUGAGGUAAUGGACAAAAAGGCAGGAAAAAAAACAAUUUGAAAGAAAGAAGGAAAGAAAGCUAAUAUUUGCUAAUCAUCUACUAUUUGUCAGGUACAAUGAAUAUAUGUAAUUUUAAUGUUGCCACUAUCUGAUAUCAAAUCUGUUACUGAGUCCUGUAUUUGUACAUCCUCCACCCCCCAAACAAAAACAAAUCCAUUACAUUUUACUAUGCUGUACUGUGAAUUCUCCUUUGCUUUGGAGGGCUGAGCUGUGCCUGCCGCGUGCCCAUUUUGGUGUUUUGUUCUUCAGAGAACAGAAUAUAUGCUGUCCUUUCUAGCUGCCAGCAAUAUACAACAUCAGUGCUGAAUAUUUUCCUUUUGAAGACUUAUGAUUCUCUAUUGCAUCAUCCUUUUUGCUAGCUUCCAUCUUCCACAUGUUCUAGAGCAAUCUUUCAACGUAAGAAAUAUUUGACAGCUUUUCCGAAACAAGAAAAUAGACAAAAUUUCUGUCCACUUUACCCACUUUGAAUUUGUAUAAAUGUGUGUGUCCCCAUAAAUUGCCAUCUUGAAUUGAUUUUAUACAUAUGUGUGUAUGUGUGUGGAGGAAAUAAAUUUUUAUACUUAUCAGUUCAUCUUGGUCAACAAAUUUAUUUUGAAAUACUAAGAGCUCUAAAAAAUAAGAAGUGGUUUCCCUUUAAGACUUCCCCACAGUUCUGCUUGCUUUGAAUUUGUAGAACUCUGGACAACCACCAUCUGUUGAUUAAGUAAUUUACUUUUGGACAUCCUCAUGGAGGGGGUGGUAGAGGAGGGGAUUUCCCCUUGAAUUCUAGGAAGUUGUUCUUCGGACUGAUAUUUGCUUCCUUUGAUGUCACAAUUUUUCUUGAUAUAUGUAAACAUUUAUUUUUAAAAGGGUUGUUAAAACUUACUGAAUAUUCUGUUUCAAUUCCUGUCAAAUACUGGUGAAGUAGAAAGGUCAAUUUAUGGAUCAAUAUGCGCACAGAUUGCAUGUCAAGUUAGUAAAAAGUGAACUUAAUAUUAUUUUAAUAUUUUUUAAUGUGUUUGGAAGUUUUUGAAAAAUAAAAAUUGAAAAGCCGUCCACUCGAAUAGGAAGUAUAGGUGUAAUAAAAUUCAUGUCAAUAAAGUUUCCUUAUCAUUAA
Long non-coding RNA from Equus asinus (donkey), 3076 nucleotides. Lineage: Eukaryota; Metazoa; Chordata; Mammalia; Perissodactyla; Equidae. The record is from Ensembl.